GGACAGCAAAGAUGGACUGUUUCUUAUUGAAAUUGACCGUGUACUCAAGCCUGGAGGUUAUUUUGUUUUGACCUCAUCCACAACCCAGCAGCAGGGUAGUUCAACCGGUGCAAAGAAGGGAAUCAUGCCUACUCCUUUGGAAGAGUUCACUAAGAAUCUCUGUUGGUCUCUUUUGGAACAGCAAGACGAAACUUUCAUCUGGCAGAAAACGGUUGAUUCCCAGUGCUACACAUCUGGGUACGACUACCAAAGAAGCCAAUGCCAUCAAGCAGGAUACUAUACCAAUUUGUAAAGGACAGGAUAUGCAACUGUACUACCAGCCACUUGCACAUUGUAUAUCUGGAACAGGCAGUGAUCGAUGGGUUCCAAUUCAUAGCAGAUCUGAUUCUAUGAACUCCACUGAGCUCAAAGUUCAUGGAGUUUAUCCUGACAAUUUCUUUGAGGAUUCAGAAUUCUGGAAAUCAGCUGUCCGAAACUAUUGGUCUUUGCUGUCACCCUUGAUUUUCUCUGACCAU
RNAcentral lists this unclassified non-coding RNA (515 nucleotides) under Hevea brasiliensis (rubber tree). The record is from RNAcentral. Lineage: Eukaryota; Viridiplantae; Streptophyta; Magnoliopsida; Malpighiales; Euphorbiaceae.